UACGGAGGGAGCUAGCGUUGUUCGGAUUUACUGGGCGUAAAGGGCGCGUAGGCGGCCACCGCAAGUCAAUUGUGAAAUCUCCGGGCUCAACCCGGAAAGGUCAACUGAUACUGCGGGGCUAGAGUGCAGAAGGGGCAACUGGAAUUCUCGGUGUAGCGGUGAAAUGCGUAGAUAUCGAGAGGAACACCUGCGGCGAAGGCGGGUUGCUGGGCUGACACUGACGCUGACAGCGCGAAAGCUAGGGGAGCGAACGGG
RNAcentral lists this ribosomal RNA (255 nucleotides) under uncultured bacterium. Its description in RNAcentral is "partial 16S ribosomal RNA". It matches the Rfam family "Bacterial small subunit ribosomal RNA", at positions 524 to 776 of the family's 1533-position model. The record is from RNAcentral.